RNAcentral lists this small RNA (252 nucleotides) under Arabidopsis thaliana (thale cress). RNAcentral's name for it is "ATSL298070". The record is from RNAcentral. Lineage: Eukaryota; Viridiplantae; Streptophyta; Magnoliopsida; Brassicales; Brassicaceae.
UUAUCAAUUUUGAGGAAAACAUAAGCAAAACAUGAACAAACAUUUUUGAAAAAAUCCAGUAACUAACGAAAAUGUUGCUGAAAAAAAAUUGACGUUCAAGUUUUGAAUUUAUUUACUCUGUUAUUCAGAUAACUAUGACUAAAGGCUCUGCUGUACAAGUGAAUGAUUUCCAAAAACUUAUAGAGAAAAUUUUUAUUCAUCCCUUUUUAUUCUAGCAAAUAAAAAUAUGUCAUCUAUUAAAAAAAUUAUUAA